Vicia villosa (hairy vetch) is the source of this 1001-nucleotide long non-coding RNA. RefSeq lists it as uncharacterized. Lineage: Eukaryota; Viridiplantae; Streptophyta; Magnoliopsida; Fabales; Fabaceae. The record is from RefSeq and is a predicted model, not a curated record. The transcript has 3 exons.
UAGGGGUGGACAAACGGUAACGACCCGACGGAACCCGACCGAACCGAAGUGGUUUUGGCUCUACGGGUCGGUUAUGUUCGGAUUUCGGGUAUGAGCAAAGCAGAUAAUUGGAUGUGAUUGGGUAUGCAUGGUCGGCUUCGGUGCUAAACAUUUGAUCCGUCGGAACCCGUAACCGACCGAAUCAUCUAGUAUAGUUUGUUUCAGAACUGGGCUGGGCUGAAAAUGCAAUUGGCCCAUAAACUUCUUAAGCUCAUAUUACUAGGGUUACUCACUUACCCUUUUCAAUUUCCUCUUCACUUAAUCUCGUCUGCUUCUAGGGUUACAGCCACCACCACCAUCCUCAAUUCCUCAUCGUCAUCCUGCUCGAAACGCCGCUCCAAGCUUCAACUACCACCAUCUUCCUCAUCGUCGUCCAUCAUCUGUUCUGGGUAAGUAUCCCGCUCAAAGCUUCUAGGGUUUGUUCCAUUUGUUUUUUUUCUUCUUCACGAUUCAGUCUCUUACAGAAGUUUUACUUAUCACCUGAUUUUGUUCCUUGAUUUACAUGUGGAUUGUGAUGUCGCUUAGGAGUUAUGGUCAGCUGAGAUUAACUUCACAGUUUUAAGAGGUAGUUUCUCUUCAUUUAAAAGCUCAUAAGAUUAAAUCUAAGGAAGAAUACUUGAGCUGCAAUGUAGCAAUCAAGCUAUUGGGAGAAUAAUUGUAUCCAGGUCUCUAUAUUUGCAGCAUAAUAGAAGUUUUCACAGAAGACUUAAUAAUGGAGGACUAAAGAGUUCUUGAAAAUUUAUGUUGAGUUUCUAUCCCUAACUUUAACUUAUGUUUUUCUACAUGGAAAAACUUUUGAACAACCAGAAGCAGAGAAUUUGGCUUGGGAAUGAGCAAGAUCAUUUUAAUUUUUUUAAGAUCUUAGUAUUUGUUUAUGUGAUUUUUUAAUUUUUAAGGACUUGAUAUGGACUGAAUUUUUUAAAUUGAAUUGUGAUAAUUUAAUGCUGUAAUUUAUAUAUUUC